CGGCAUGUGGGAUCUUCCCGGACUGGGACACGAAUCCGUGUCCCCUGCAACGGCAGGUGGACUCUCAACCACUGCGCCACCAGGGAAGCCCUAAAACUCACUCCCUUAAGCAUUAUCAGGCCCCAGGGUUGCCACUUGAGCCUGAAUUUCCAAUCUGCCCAGAUAAAGAAGAGAGGAUUUGGGAGGGAAUUCUGCUGGAGUGAUGGCUCGGAAAAAGUGGUCUGAAGAUCACCAGCGAGCUUGCUGGACAUGCAGAAUCUUGGACCCGCUCCACACUCACUGAAUCAGAGCCUGAAUUUUCACAAGAUCUCACAGAAUCCAUCUGCACCGUCAAGUUUGAGAAAUUCAGGAUACAUCAUCACCCAUGACCAACCUUCCAGUAAAAACUAUACUCUUGAUGAAUGUUACAGUUUACAAAGUUGGUUUACAUAGAUGAUUUCAUUUAAAUUUACUAUUUUAUCUUCAUCCCAGCCACAAUGUAACAUUAUUCUUAUUCUUUUUAAUGAUGAAAUUGAGGUCCAGGAAGGUGACAGACUUGCCUAAAAUCCUGUGUCUGGAGCCAGGUAAAUCCCAACUUCAGUCUCGGUGGAUAGUAGAAUACUUUUUGAUUAUUAAUAGCGUGCUGAAGGUAGCAUUAGUAUGCAUGGUGAUUUUAGGUAUCGAUGUAAAGUAUGCUUUAUUCUCAUAUGUAUUAGAGAAAAAUAUAAUGAACAAACUAACCAGGUGUGGCAUUUCAUAGUUAUUAUUGCUUAAGGAGAUUUGUGUUCUGAGGGUGGUCCUUCCAUGUCCGAGGUUCAGGGAACAUUUCUCUAUAUUAUAGAUGUCACUCCUCUCUUUUAUUUACAGCAAUGUCAAGAUUCCAAUUUUAGUGACAAUUUAUAUUGAGUAAUUUUUUAUUUACUACAAACAUCCAGUGCAAUGUGUUGGUACAGGAAAAAGUAAAAGUUCUUUCAUGAAUAUUUCCCUGAACAGUAUUAGUACACCAAAGGUAUUUUCCACAAUCCAACUUUAUGCCUUACUAUAAACAGCAAUGGAACAAUUAGUAUACUCAAUCCUAUUCAGAAAGCUUAAGAGCCAUCUUUUUUUUUUAAUAAUUUUAUUUUAUUUUAUUUUUUAUUUAUUUAUUUUUGGCUGCGUUGGGUCUUUCUU
Aethalodelphis obliquidens (Pacific white-sided dolphin) is the source of this 1149-nucleotide long non-coding RNA. RefSeq lists it as uncharacterized. The record is from RefSeq and is a predicted model, not a curated record. The transcript has 3 exons. Lineage: Eukaryota; Metazoa; Chordata; Mammalia; Artiodactyla; Delphinidae.